This 499-nucleotide ribosomal RNA is filed under the name uncultured bacterium. RNAcentral describes it as "partial 16S ribosomal RNA". It matches the Rfam family "Bacterial small subunit ribosomal RNA", at positions 28 to 507 of the family's 1533-position model. The record is from RNAcentral.
GAUGAACGCUGGCGGCGUGCCUAAUACAUGCAAGUCGAGCGAACAGACGAGAGUUCUUGCACUCUCUGACGUUAGCGGCGGACGGGUGAGUAACACGUGGGUAACCUACCUAUAAGACUGGGAUAACUUCGGGAAACCGGAGCUAAUACCGGAUAAUAUUUAGCUUCGCAUGAAGCAAUAGUGAAAGACGGUUCUGCUGUCACUGAUAGAUGGACCCGCGGUGUAUUAGCUAGUUGGUGAGGUAACGGCUCACCAAGGCAACGAUUCAUAGCCGACCUGAGAGGGUGAUCGGCCACACUGGGACUGAGACACGGCCCAGGCUCCUGCGGGAGGCAGCAGUAGGGAAUCGUCCGCAGUGGUCGAAAGUCUGACGGAGCAAUGCCGCGUGUGUGAAGAAGGUGUUCGGUUCGUAAAACUCUGUUGUGAGGGAAGAACAAGUACGUUAGUAACUGAACGUACCUUGACGGUACCUUAGCAGAGAGCCACGGCUAACUACGUG